CCACCUCUUGGCUUAGUGGUUAAAGCGUGGCACUCUGAAUAAAAAGACCCAGGGUUCAAACCCUGGGGCGGA
Non-coding RNA from Powellomyces hirtus, 72 nucleotides. Lineage: Eukaryota; Fungi; Chytridiomycota; Chytridiomycetes; Spizellomycetales; Powellomycetaceae. The record is from the annotation of a GenBank genome assembly.